GACGAACGCUGGCGGCGUGCUUAACACAUGCAAGUCGAGCGGUAAGGCCCUUUCGGGGGUACACGAGCGGCGAACGGGUGAGUAACACGUGGGUGACCUGCCUUUAGCUCUGGGAUAAGCCUGGGAAACUGGGUCUAAUACCGGAUAUGACUCCGCGGUGCAUGCUGUGGGGUGGAAAGCCUUGUGCGGCUGGAGAUGGGCCCGCGGCCUAUCAGCUUGUUGGUGGGGUGAUGGCCUACCAAGGCGACGACGGGUAGCCGGCCUGAGAGGGCGACCGGCCACACUGGGACUGAGACACGGCCCAGACUCCUACGGGAGGCAGCAGUGGGGAAUCUUGCGCAAUGGGCGAAAGCCUGACGCAGCGACGCCGCGUGAGGGAUGACGGCCUCGGUGUAA
This 396-nucleotide ribosomal RNA is filed under the name uncultured bacterium. Its description in RNAcentral is "bacterial SSU rRNA". It matches the Rfam family "Bacterial small subunit ribosomal RNA", at positions 28 to 428 of the family's 1533-position model. The record is from RNAcentral.